UCCAUUCGGAGUAUCGGAGCACUUAUCGCUGGCAUGAGUUCACUGGCAAUUCGCGGCCUGAAGUGGUGCGUCGUGCACCAGCGCCCAAUCCCAGUCAAUUUAUCGGUCCAACGAAUGAGCCACCGUUACCCAGGCGAAAAAAAUGUCCCGAAUUGGCAUACAAGUCGCACGAGUUCAUUAUUGGUUCGGAGUAUACAGAUGCGAGAGGUGGACAUGCCAAUCGGUUAGCAAGGUCUGAAGAACGUGGUGGUACACCAUCACGCCGGAGCAAAUCUGAGGGACCGCCAGUUGUGCCCAAUGGACGUGCAUAUGCCAUACCGGAGGAAGUUGAUGGAACGGCUAAAA
RNAcentral lists this long non-coding RNA (345 nucleotides) under Rhagoletis pomonella (apple maggot). RNAcentral describes it as "uncharacterized LOC118741712, transcript variant X1". The record is from RNAcentral. Lineage: Eukaryota; Metazoa; Arthropoda; Insecta; Diptera; Tephritidae.